Molecule: long non-coding RNA, 1506 nt
Filed under: Homo sapiens (human)
Lineage: Eukaryota; Metazoa; Chordata; Mammalia; Primates; Hominidae
Description: PREDICTED lncRNA (TCONS_00188965)
Rfam family: SOX2 overlapping transcript exon 3 (bases 603-878)
Source: RNAcentral
GUCGUAAAAGGGGACGCGGAGGAGAAGGAAAGUCGCUCAAGCAGUGGACAGAGCGGAGAAAGCGACUUCGGGUUGGUUGAAGGUUCAGCCUGAGAAAACUCCUGAGCAUGUGCGAAAAAGAAAAGAAGAAAAGAAAAGUAAAGAAAAGAAAAAAGGAAAAAGGGCAAGCUCCUGAGUGGAUCUCUCAGGGAGCCACCAGACAGUGAAUGAAGGAGGGAAGAAAGGAGAGACAGAGAAAAUAUGGAUUUCCUCAUGGUUGUGAUUCCUCUUCACUCUUUUGAAUUUGGAAGGAUGGCAUACACAUCUGAAAAAUACCACUACUUCCUUCAUUGGACUGCAAGGUAUUUCUGUUUGGAAAAGUAAUGGAGUCCAGUCAACUUCAUUGAUCGCCAAGGACUGUCAAAAUUAUAAAACUUGCUGUGGAGCUCUGACAUGCCAGAAGCCGCUAGAAAAAGAAGUUUGACAUUCAGAAACUUAUCAAGAGGUUCUACUCUUUGGAUAGAGACCAAAAUCAUACUUUGAAAAAGCCUGACAGGUUUCUUCGGAAAAGUGGCCAUCCAUGGAAUGAAUGAAAUGUUCUCUUUCUAUUCCAGGGAUUGCAGUGGCAAAGCUAGGCUAGGUCUUGGAGGCUGGUGUAAGGCGAUGUGGGUGAAGGCAGGAGGCUGAUGGAAAGACUGGGGGGAAGAAAAGCCGAAAUGGAUUCACGGUGCCUUGGAUGAAGGACGAGAGGGGAACUGCAAGCUCCUUCAACUGGUUCUGUCCGGUGAGAAGUGAUCAAGCUUGGGCUGACAAGAGGCUCAGGGAGCCCUCACGUUCUUUCGCUUUUUUACCUGCCAAUCAAACUGCUACAAGACAACACCCUGAUCUGGCAUGGACAUGUAAAAGCAAUAGUCUUGGAAAAGCGAAUCUACCAGCAGGGGGCGCACCAGCCACAUCCCUGAAACCAGCCGCGCUGAAAAGCCGGUGGCCGCCUUCUCUUCCCCAGAUCUUCUCAACCUUUUCUCUUUCCUAAUCUCCAGGUCCGUGUUUACCUUAAUAUUACACCUGGAUUAAACAGAAAACAGUGCUGUAUUUUGAAGAGCGCCGAAUAUGUAUGCAUUUUGAGAAACCCAAUCUCACCCUUUCCGGGUUCCCAAGAACUAAAACAAGCCAUAACUUGAGAGAAAAAGGAGAACCUUCGGGGGGCAGGAAGGUUGAUUGGAAAUAACUUAAGGAAAGUCUGCAGAAUUCUUUUUUUUACAACUUUUCUGAGUUUCCAGUGGGUAUAUUUAGUGUGAGUUUGACAGUAACAGGCUAGGGAGGGCAGAGAUUGGAGAAAUUGGGGGUCGGGGGAGUGAUUAUGGGAAGAAGGUUAGUAAGGAACAAAACAAUGCACCGUUUUGUAAAGAUAAUAAAUGGAACGUGGCUGGUAGAUACUAUUCAGUACAUUUUCUUAGGGUGAGUAAGGGUAGACCAGGGGAGGAGGGGGCGGAGAGAGUGUUACAGAAGAAAGAAAAUAAGUAACCC